AGUCGAACGGAUCCAGCACAUAAUACGUAAAAUGAAAUAGCAAUAUGAAUUUUUGCAAUUGUUAUGUGCUAGGUUAGUGGCGAACGAGGUAGUAAUACAUAGGAACUUCCCCCAAAGUCGUGAAUAAUUCGUUGAAAGACGAACUAAUACACGAUGGUCUCCAACUUUGUGUUGGAGUAAAGAAUUUCGCUUUGGGAAAGGCCUAUGCGGUAUCAGCUUGUUGGUAGUGUAAAGGACUACCAAGGCUAUGACGCCUAGGGGAGGUGAGAGCCUGACCCCCACCGAUGGUACUGAGACACGGACCAUACACCUACGGGUGGCUGCAGUCGAGAAUCUUUCACAAUGGACGAAAGUCUGAUGGAGCGACGCCGCGUGAUUGAUGAAGUCCCUUUGGGACGUAAAGAUCUUUUAUGAGGGAAGAAGUUUAUUGACGGUACCUCAUGAAUAAGAGGCUCCUAAUCUCGUGCCAGCAGGAGCGGUAAUACGAGAGCCUCGAGCGUUAUCCGAAAUUAUUGGGCAUAAAGGGUGUGUAGGUGGUUUU
Molecule: ribosomal RNA, 541 nt
Filed under: uncultured bacterium
Lineage: Bacteria
Description: bacterial SSU rRNA
Rfam family: Bacterial small subunit ribosomal RNA
Source: RNAcentral